AACCCUUGAUCUUAGUUGCCAUCAUUAAGUUGGGCACUUUAAGGUGACUGCCGGUGACAAACCGGAGGAAGGUGGGGAUGACGUCAAAUCAUCAUGCCCCUUAUGACCUGGGCUACACACGUGCUACAAUGGACGGUACAAAGAGCUGCAAGACCGCGAGGUGGAGCUAAUCUCAUAAAACCGUUCUCAGUUCGGAUUGUAGGCUGCAACUCGCCUACAUGAAGCUGGAAUCGCUAGUAAUCGCGGAUCAGCAUGCCGCGGUGAAUACGUUCCCGGGCCUUGUACACACCGCCCGUCACACCACGAGAGUUUGUAACACCCGAAGUCGGUGGGGUAACCUUUUUGGAGCCAGCCGCCUAAGGUGGGACAGAUGAUUGG
Molecule: ribosomal RNA, 378 nt
Filed under: Bacillus toyonensis
Lineage: Bacteria; Bacillati; Bacillota; Bacilli; Caryophanales; Bacillaceae
Description: bacterial SSU rRNA
Rfam family: Bacterial small subunit ribosomal RNA
Source: RNAcentral